Pseudophryne corroboree (corroboree frog) is the source of this 657-nucleotide long non-coding RNA. RefSeq lists it as uncharacterized. Lineage: Eukaryota; Metazoa; Chordata; Amphibia; Anura; Myobatrachidae. The transcript is spliced from 5 exons. The record is from RefSeq and is a predicted model, not a curated record.
GAGAGCACAGGCCGUCGGGCGUGCUGCGUGACAUCAUGUUGCGAGGCGGAGGUUUCGUUGUCGCAGUACACCCAGUGCAGCCGCCGGCCAGUUAGUGAACAAUACACGUCCUGACCGAAGCGGCGGGCGCAGCUGUGGGGAGCACAGAAAUGAGCAGCAAACUCUAUCCCUCAGUGCUUUGCUUUCACCUCUGUUCAAGUUCAGGCUACAAUGGACAUCUUUGAACCUGAAGAAUUUAACCGGCCUGUACCAUGGAGGACGUGUAUGUACCGCAGCGGUUUUCUGACAGUGUCCAUCGCUAACCCUUCCGCUGUAGCGUUCCCAAGCUGUGUGGGGACCAGGUUGUGCUCAGAAGUAAAGUUUCCCAAUGGAGUUCCUCUAAACCAGGGCUAGCCUCUAGAUCUACCAACAAUUCACAUUUCCAGACCACCUAGCUGGUGCACAGACUGGAAUCACGUUGAACGAACGCUUCAAGAUACUGAAGGAAGAAAGAUUGUCCAAAACAAUCAGCAAAGGCAGCAGAUUUGUGAUAAUUGGAUGAGGCCCUGAGGUCCGCAGCCUGCCUUAGCUUGUUCCCGCGUUUACGUUUUUUUUUUUUUACCGUUGACUUUAUAAACCACUGGAAAACUUUGCAUUCAGAAGCUGUUGUCAUGUCUG